Molecule: long non-coding RNA, 767 nt
Organism: Juglans microcarpa x Juglans regia
Lineage: Eukaryota; Viridiplantae; Streptophyta; Magnoliopsida; Fagales; Juglandaceae
Exons: 3
Source: RefSeq, a predicted model, not a curated record
UCUUUCUUCUUCGUCUUUCGUUUCCUCUGCCGCAGCUGUUUUUCCGCUGCAUGAUACCUAUCCCCUUUCUCCCAGAUCUGCUCUUCAUCUUGGCUUUUCUUUCAUUCCCGGCUCGAGCUUCGAUUAGAUCGUUUCUGUACCUGUGUUUCAAUGGUAAUUUUUUGCCGUUUCGUGCUCUAUUCCGGUUUUGAUCACUGUGCUCUUCUAUCACAGACUUUGAUUUGUUCUCGCUUUAGAUCGAUGGAGUUUGGUUGACCGCGACGGCAAAUCGAGAACUAACUUGGAUCUCUUGCGUCUAUAUCUUCGAUGAUCUAUUUUCGUUUGGAGCAGUGGAAGAGAAUCUUGAACGACUAAUUAUCGGCUGGGACGGAUUGUGUGGGUGGACCGGGAUUCUGUUGAUCUAAACGAUGGUGAUACUGGCCGCCGAAGAAGAAGCCACUUGGGUCCGUUGACUUUGUGUGGAUUAUAGUGGGGUUUGAUACUACGUGUGUGUCAUAUUUAUUUAUAUUCCUUGCCUGAUUAUUAUGUUAUUGUCUGUUAUUUUAGCAAUACGAUCUAUUAAGAGGCAAGGAUGGUGUGAGAUUUAUGAGCAUCAGGUAUUAUCUUGUAAGGUAUUGUGGCCAUGUAUCGACCUUUGCCAUGACAGGUGCGCUUGCUUGGCAGGUCAAAUACACUCAAUAAAAACCUCUCUUUUUGUUUUGGGGGGAGACGGCCCUUGGGGUUUUUUUCUCAUUUUGGGCCGGUCUCCCUCCAUGGGCGUGCUCUCU